This 1350-nucleotide long non-coding RNA is filed under the name Homo sapiens (human). RNAcentral's name for it is "novel transcript". The record is from RNAcentral. Lineage: Eukaryota; Metazoa; Chordata; Mammalia; Primates; Hominidae.
CCGUUUGCCUCUGGGACUGGCGAUACUCGAGGUAAUGGCUACUGGGGCCAAGUCGUGGGCGACCUGCAGUGCAUGGGUAGAGUAAGGUGCCUCCGCCCAGUCUAAGCAGCCCUCCCCAGAGCUGGUGGGUUCCCAGGAGUGAUGCCUGUUUGUCAGUGAGGCCCCGCGGGGAUGAGGACGGAGCAUUACGCAGCGCACUGCGCCCCCUUGAACUCUGCAGAUGCCAGGAUGUCUUGAGGCCUUCCAGACCUUGCUCCACCUCCACCACCAGGUCUCCAGUCCUGAGCCACAUGCUGCCAUUUUUGUCUCAGAAGCACCCCUCUUCCAGGUGGAAGAUUGAAGGUCUGAAGAGUGGGAAGUCCCAGGAACAGGCAAUUCCAGGAAGAUAUGAGGAAAAUCAAGAAAGAGAAGGAAACUGAAGCUAGUGGGAAGUGCUUCAAGUUGGAGAUGAUGCUGAGAUGGCCAAAAAGUGAGAGGUGGAAAACAUUUGGAGUGAGUUAAGGAGAGAACGCGAGGCAAGGAAGUGAAGCUGAUUUUCAAACCUGAGUGAAUGAAUGAAUAAACGGACCUGGGAAUUGAUCAACAAUGGCUGCUGCAUCGCGUAAAGAGAGACGACCAGGUGUCAGCUGGCUGUCAACUGAUCUAGGAUGGUCUUGGAGGGACAACGAGGGCAACCCCAUGUCUCUUCUUUAGCAGGCCAGCCCAGACAUGCUUUCAUGGCUGAAUAGGAGCCAGCCUGGUCAUGGGAGCAAUUUUCAAGCAAGUCUCUGCUUGAAUGUCACAUUUACUAACAUCCUGUUGGCCAAGGUGCAUCCCAUGGCUGAGCCCAGUGUCCAAGUGAAAGGGCACCAGGAAGUUCCCUGCAGCGCUGUGGGUACUGGAAGAAUGGGCGCCAUCUUCAUGACAGCAGCAUGCUAAGUUACAGAAAGUGAGCGGCGUUCUAGACAAAGCAAGCUCAUCUGUGAAUGGAUCAUGGCGGAAACCUGACCACAGUAUGUUGGGAUUUAUGUGUUUGACAUUUUCUAUAAUAGAAAGGCAGAUCAAAAAUAAGGCUCCAGUGCCUCCACUCAGGAAAGCUCAAGUAGGUUUUCUUGAGAAUUUUUAGUGGAUACCCUGUUUUGCAAUGUUCUUUUCUUUUUCUAAUGAGGCUGAACCAGAUUGUAAUGCCAUGAGGCUUCUACAUGGAGAGCUGGACGUUGGUGAGGAUUGGGUGGAGAAGGCCGGGUGGAGGCUGGGCCUGGGAGAAGAGCAGCAGAUUCCCAAACGUACUGGUAUUGGUGCAUACUCUGAGAAAGACAUCUCAGAGCACUUCUGCCGUCAGUUACGAAGUUUCAAUAUAAGAAUUCUUUC